This 71-nucleotide transfer RNA is filed under the name Ovis aries (sheep). It matches the Rfam family "tRNA". Rfam says of the family: Transfer RNA (tRNA) molecules are approximately 80 nucleotides in length. Lineage: Eukaryota; Metazoa; Chordata; Mammalia; Artiodactyla; Bovidae. The record is from Rfam by way of RNAcentral.
UCUUGAGUAGCCCAGCGGUAAAGCAUCCGCCUGCAAUGCAGGAGACCCAGGUUUGAUCCCUGGGUCAAGGA